Molecule: long non-coding RNA, 208 nt
Filed under: Ananas comosus (pineapple)
Lineage: Eukaryota; Viridiplantae; Streptophyta; Magnoliopsida; Poales; Bromeliaceae
Description: long non-coding RNA (ACOM_LNC037429)
Source: RNAcentral
AUCAGAUACUCCUUGGUCGAAAAAUUCUAAAAUACAACGGAUAUAUCAGUGACGUGGUGUAACAAAUCAAUCAAAUAUCUUUUUUUAGAGAUAUAUAUUCUAUCAUGAUUAUAAUUUUUUUUUAUUGUACUUUUGUUUAAAAAUAAAAAAAAUAUGAUUGAUUUGUUAUUGACAACGUGGUGUAAGUGUGACUGUGUAGAAUUCCUCG